CCGGUAAACGGCGGCCGUAACUAUAACGGUCCUAAGGUAGCGAAAUUCCUUGUCGGGUAAGUUCCGACCUGCACGAAUGGCGUAAUGAUGGCCAGGCUGUCUCCACCCGAGACUCAGUGAAAUUGAACUCGCUGUGAAGAUGCAGUGUACCCGCGGCAAGACGGAAAGACCCCGUGAACCUUUACUAUAGCUUGACACUGAACAUUGAGCCUUGAUGUGUAGGAUAGGUGGGAGGCUUUGAAGCGUGGACGCCAGUCUGCGUGGAGCCGACCUUGAAAUACCACCCUUUAAUGUUUGAUGUUCUAACGUGGACCCGUAAUCCGGGUUGCGGACAGUGUCUGGUGGGUAGUUUGACUGGGGCGGUCUCCUCCUAAAGAGUAACGGAGGAGCACGAAGGUUGGCUAAUCCUGGUCGGACAUCAGGAGGUUAGUGCAAUGGCAUAAGCCAGCUUGACUGCGAGCGUGACGGCGCGAGCAGGUGCGAAAGCAGGUCAUAGUGAUCCGGUGGUUCUGAAUGGAAGGGCCAUCGCUCAACGGAUAAAAGGUACUCCGGGGAUAACAGGCUGAUACCGCCCAAGAGUUCAUAUCGACGGCGGUGUUUGGCACCUCGAUGUCGGCUCAUCACAUCCUGGGGCUGAAGUAGGUCCCAAGGGUAUGGCUGUUCGCCAUUUAAAGUGGUACGCGAGCUGGGUUUAGAACGUCGUGAGACAGUUCGGUCCCUAUCUGCCGUGGGCGCUGGAGAACUGAGGGGGGCUGCUCCUAGUACGAGAGGACCGGAGUGGACGCAUCACUGGUGUUCGGGUUGUCAUGCCAAUGGCACUGCCCGGUAGCUAAAUGCGGAAGAGAUAAGUGCUGAAAGCAUCUAAGCACGAAACUUGCCCCGA
Molecule: ribosomal RNA, 883 nt
Filed under: Salmonella enterica
Lineage: Bacteria; Pseudomonadati; Pseudomonadota; Gammaproteobacteria; Enterobacterales; Enterobacteriaceae
Description: partial 23S ribosomal RNA
Rfam family: Bacterial large subunit ribosomal RNA
Source: RNAcentral